GUACUCGCUUCAGCGGUACAUAUACUAAAAUUGGAACGAUAGAGAGAAUAUUAGCAUGGCCCCUUCGCAAGGAUGACAAAAAAAAAAUGUUGGUAGAGCACUUGCCC
Schistocerca nitens (vagrant locust) is the source of this 107-nucleotide small nuclear RNA. NCBI's taxonomy places the organism in Eukaryota, Metazoa, Arthropoda, Insecta, Orthoptera, Acrididae. The record is from RefSeq and is a predicted model, not a curated record.